This 71-nucleotide transfer RNA is filed under the name Urocitellus parryii (Arctic ground squirrel). RNAcentral describes it as "Spermophilus parryii (Arctic ground squirrel) tRNA". It matches the Rfam family "tRNA". From Rfam's summary of the family: Transfer RNA (tRNA) molecules are approximately 80 nucleotides in length. Their secondary structure includes four short double-helical elements and three loops (D, anti-codon, and T loops). The record is from Rfam by way of RNAcentral. Lineage: Eukaryota; Metazoa; Chordata; Mammalia; Rodentia; Sciuridae. RNAcentral also lists the same sequence under 1 other name.
GGGGAGAUAGCUCAGUGGUAAAGCACCUGCCUAGCAAGCAUGAGGCCCUGAGUUCAAUCCCCAUCACCACA